Molecule: long non-coding RNA, 220 nt
Filed under: Brassica napus (rape)
Lineage: Eukaryota; Viridiplantae; Streptophyta; Magnoliopsida; Brassicales; Brassicaceae
Description: long non-coding RNA (BNAP_LNC003816)
Source: RNAcentral
UGGAUACUAGUAGAUUAAGAUGCAUAUAUGUACAUAUGUUUAAUUCUGUUUGGUUGUAUGGAAUACACUUGUAACUUCAAUACAUAAUACGUCUCAAAGCCUUGUUAAAAAAUACAACUGCUUCAGAGACACUGUUGUUCUCCAACUAUAACUAUUCAUCAACCAUUCCAGAAUUCGUAUAUAACAAAUGGUCACAAUCCAACCGAGACGAAGAAACAUA